GCCAGCUUCCCCGUGGGCUUUGAAGAUGCAAACUCCAAUCCUAUCAGUACGGGUUGGUUUCUGCCUGCUCCCGGUGCUUUAAAAGUAUGACUGGGGAGAAGGAAGCGCGUGAGGGUGGCUGUCAUGCCGUGGUCCUGCUGGCUGCUGGCUGCUGCUCUUUGCCAUGGCAACAGUUGUGUUGUCUUUAUUGCUUUCAAUCUUUUCACAUUCUUGCUGUGCUUCCUCUUGAUUUGCUGACACAGGCUGUCACUUAGCAGUAAUAAAGCUGUCAAUGGUAUCAGCGACCAAUCUUUUAAUAUGGUAUCAGAAAGUCUGACAAGAGCAUAGGGGUGCCGGAUUUCCAAUGACAAGUUAAUUUAUUCAAAGCACUCUGAACAUUAUUUCCAUUCCUAUGGCACGCAAAUGAUGCCCAGCAAGGCUGGUGUCUGCUGGAUGGGAUGCAGACGGCGGAAGAAUUUGGCACGCGGUGAUCCUGUAGGUAUUCCAUGGGCUGAAAGCAGAAUUAACUCACUAGUGCGAGGGGAAGAUGCAGAUCCAUGCCCUUGUAUCCUCUCAGAGAUCUCCCCUAUUGCCAGAGGAAAAGCUCCAGCUGUAGUGCAGAGGCCUGGCAUCACUUUACCUCUUGGAGCACAUUAGAUUGUGUGAGAGGAUCAGCAUUGCUUCUGGUGGUGGUUUAAUUAUGGACAUUUGAGAAGCACAGUUUUCUGACUGCUUUGACCAAUCAUAAAGUCAGCACUUCAAAGAAAGAUCUUCAGAUACUAGAUGUAACCUUUUCAUCUCAGCACAGCAAAGCCAAGGAAUCGGGAUACGAGACAGCUCCUGAAGCUAGGUGCUCACCCCGGGUCUCUCCAGAUGAAUAUCCAGCCAGUGGCUUUUAACUUUGCCUCACAAUUUCCAGUUGAAGGACUGCGCUCUGGCAGUGACCGCAGGAAAAUCUUCACUGCAGAGAAGCCCAAAAUAAGCAACCUUAUGA
Molecule: long non-coding RNA, 973 nt
Filed under: Gallus gallus (chicken)
Lineage: Eukaryota; Metazoa; Chordata; Aves; Galliformes; Phasianidae
Description: lncRNA (ENSGALG00010007435.1)
Source: RNAcentral